This 439-nucleotide ribosomal RNA is filed under the name uncultured bacterium. Its description in RNAcentral is "partial 16S ribosomal RNA". It matches the Rfam family "Bacterial small subunit ribosomal RNA", at positions 339 to 795 of the family's 1533-position model. The record is from RNAcentral.
CUACGGGUGGCACCAGUGGGGAAUAUUGCACAAUGGAGGAAACUCUGAUGCAGCAACGCCGCGUGGAGGAUGACACUUUUCGGAGCGUAAACUCCUUUUAUAUAGGAAGGAGAUGACGGUACUAUAUGAAUAAGCGCCGGCUAACUCCGUGCCAGCAGCCGCGGUAAUACGGAGGGCGCAAGCGUUACUCGGAAUCACUGGGCGUAAAGAGCGUGUAGGCGGAUUAAAAAGUCAGAAGUGAAAUCCUAUAGCUUAACUAUAGAACUGCUUCUGAAACUCUUAAUCUAGAAUAUGGGAGAGGUAGAUGGAAUUUCUGGUGUAGGGGUAAAAUCCGUAGAGAUCAGAAGGAAUACAGAUUGCGAAGGCGAUCUACUAGAACAUUAUUGACGCUGAGACGCGAAAGCGUGGGGGGCAAGCAGGAUUAGAUACCCGUGUAGUC